This 450-nucleotide ribosomal RNA is filed under the name uncultured bacterium. Its description in RNAcentral is "partial 16S ribosomal RNA". It matches the Rfam family "Bacterial small subunit ribosomal RNA", at positions 354 to 796 of the family's 1533-position model. The record is from RNAcentral.
GUGGGGAAUAUUGGACAAUGGGCGCAAGCCUGAUCCAGCAAUGCCGCGUGGGUGAAGAAGGCCUUCGGGUUCUAAAGCCCUUUUGUACGGGAAGAAAUCAUUAGGGUUAAUACCCUGGGUGGAUGACGGUACCGUAAGAAUAAGCACCGGCUAACUUCGUGCCAGCAGCCGCGGUAAUACGAAGGGUGCAAGCGUUAAUCGGAAUUACUGGGCGUAAAGCGUGCGUAGGUGGUUGUUCAAGUCUGUCGUGAAAGCCCUGGGCUCAACCUGGGAAUGGCGAUGGAAACUGGGCGACUAGAGUGCGGUAGAGGAUGGCGGAAUUCCCGGUGUAGCGGUGAAAUGCGUAGAGAUCGGGAGGAACAUCCGUGGCGAAGGCGGCCAUCUGGAUCAGCACUGACACUGAGGCACGAAAGCGUGGGGAGCAAACAGGAUUAGAAACCCUAGUAGUCC